RNAcentral lists this ribosomal RNA (253 nucleotides) under uncultured bacterium. RNAcentral's name for it is "partial 16S ribosomal RNA". It matches the Rfam family "Bacterial small subunit ribosomal RNA", at positions 524 to 776 of the family's 1533-position model. The record is from RNAcentral.
UACGAAGGGGGCUAGCGUUGCUCGGAAUCACUGGGCGUAAAGGGUGCGUAGGCGGGUCUUUAAGUCGGUGGUGAAAUCCUGGAGCUCAACUCCAGAACUGCCUUCGAUACUGGGAGUCUUGAGUUCGGGAGAGGUGAGUGGAACUGCGAGUGUAGAGGUGAAAUUCGUAGAUAUUCGCAAGAACACCAGUGGCGAAGGCGGCUCACUGGCCCGAUACUGACGCUGAGGUGCGAAAGCGUGGGGAGCAAACAGG